Molecule: unclassified non-coding RNA, 109 nt
Organism: Cricetulus griseus (Chinese hamster)
Lineage: Eukaryota; Metazoa; Chordata; Mammalia; Rodentia; Cricetidae
Gene: 7SK
Rfam family: 7SK RNA
About the family: 7SK was discovered as an abundant small nuclear RNA in the mid-70s but a possible function has only recently been suggested. Two independent studies have found that 7SK RNA binds the CDK9/cyclin T complex (known as elongation factor P-TEFb). P-TEFb activates transcription by phosphorylating the C-terminal domain of RNA polymerase II.
Source: Ensembl
AUGUUAGGGCAAUCUGGCUGCAACAUCUGUCACCCCAUUGAUUGUCAGGGUCAAUUCAGCUGAUGUGACUGGCUCAGCUGGGCAGGUGCUCCCUUCCUCCUUUUCCAGU